GACGAACGCUGGCGGUGUGCUUAACACAUGCAAGUCGAACGGAAAGGCCCUGCUUUUGUGGGGUGCUCGAGUGGCGAACGGGUGAGUAACACGUGAGUAACCUGCCCUUGACUUUGGGAUAACUUCAGGAAACUGGGGCUAAUACCGGAUAGGAGCUCCUGCUGCAUGGUGGGGGUUGGAAAGUUUCGGCGGUUGGGGAUGGACUCGCGGCUUAUCAGCUUGUUGGUGGGGUAGUGGCUUACCAAGGCUUUGACGGGUAGCCGGCCUGAGAGGGUGACCGGCCACAUUGGGACUGAGAUACGGCCCAGACUCCUACGGGAGGCAGCAGUGGGGAAUAUUGCACAAUGGGCGGAAGCCUGAUGCAGCAACGCCGCGUGCGGGAUGACGGCCUUCGGGUUGUAAACCUCUUUCGCCUGUGACGAAGCGUGAGUGACGGUAAUGGGUAAAGAAGCACCGGCUAACUACGUG
This 468-nucleotide ribosomal RNA is filed under the name uncultured bacterium. RNAcentral describes it as "partial 16S ribosomal RNA". It matches the Rfam family "Bacterial small subunit ribosomal RNA", at positions 28 to 507 of the family's 1533-position model. The record is from RNAcentral.